Molecule: ribosomal RNA, 253 nt
Filed under: uncultured bacterium
Lineage: Bacteria
Description: partial 16S ribosomal RNA
Rfam family: Bacterial small subunit ribosomal RNA
Source: RNAcentral
UACGUAGGGGGCUAGCGUUGUCCGGAAUCAUUGGGCGUAAAGCGCGUGUAGGCGGCCCGAUAAGUCCGCUGUGAAAGUCCAGGGCUCAACCCUGGGAUGCCGGCGGAUACUGUCGGGCUCGAGUCCGGAAGAGGCGAGUGGAACUCCUGGUGUAGCGGUGAAAUGCGCAGAUAUCAGGAGGAACACCAAUGGCGAAGGCGGCUCUCUGGGACGGUACUGACGCUGAGACGCGAAAGCGUGGGGAGCGAACGGG